This 434-nucleotide ribosomal RNA is filed under the name uncultured bacterium 'eubacterium sp.'. RNAcentral's name for it is "bacterial SSU rRNA". It matches the Rfam family "Bacterial small subunit ribosomal RNA", at positions 29 to 508 of the family's 1533-position model. RNAcentral also lists the same sequence under 1 other name. The record is from RNAcentral.
AACGAACGCUGGCGGCAGGCUUAACACAUGCAAGUCGAGCGCAUCCUUCGGGUCUAGUGGCGCACGGGUGCGUAACACGUGGGAAUCUGCCCUUGGGUGCGGAAUAACUUCCCGAAAGGGAUGCUAAUACCGCAUAAUGUCGCAAGACCAAAGAUUUAUCGCCCAAGGAUGAGCCCGCGUAGGAUUAGCUAGUUGGUGGGGUAAAAGCCUACCAAGGCGACGAUCCUUAGCUGGUCUGAGAGGAUGAUCAGCCACACUGGGACUGAGACACGGCCCAGACUCCUACGGGAGGCAGCAGUGGGGAAUAUUGGACAAUGGGCGAAAGCCUGAUCCAGCAAUGCCGCGUGAGUGAUGAAGGCCUUAGGGUUGUAAAGCUCUUUUACCCGGGAUGAUAAUGACAGUACCGGGAGAAUAAGCUCCGGCUAACUCCGUGU